CAUCAUCAUCUGCAGCAUUAAUUACAACUGGUGGAUGCUUGGGGCUAGGAACAUUUUCGGAACUUUCUACUUUCAUAACGCUCCGCAGCUGAGGGGAAGGAUUGGACUGGACAGACAAUUUGUUCUGCUGAACUGAAAGUUGGCUAGCCUUCACUUCCUCUUCUGGUGACUCAGGCACAGUGGGCAACACACUUUUGCUCGGAGAUGCAGCUGUUCUCUUAGUUACAUUGGCAGAUUGUGUGUUGUCAAUGUUGACUAUUGCUUAGGGAACCACAGUAUAUCAGUGCAUGGCCUCUGCCUGGCCCUUUCGCACAAUUGUAACUGUAGCGGUCUGCAAAGAUAUGAAAGGAACAUCUGUGAGAUAGAUACUGAAGACUGCAAAUCUGCGUCCUGCAAAAAUGGAACAACUAGUACACAUUUAAGGGGAUAUUUCUUCCGCAAGUGUGUCCCAGGAUUUAAAGGCAAGUUUUUUUUUUCCUGAUAAAUUAAAUUUUCUAGUAAAUAAUGUUGUUAAUAUAUUUAUUUGAUAUAUCUCAAAUAUAUCUCAAAUGUGUCUAUUGAUUGGUA
Molecule: long non-coding RNA, 567 nt
Filed under: Homo sapiens (human)
Lineage: Eukaryota; Metazoa; Chordata; Mammalia; Primates; Hominidae
Description: non-protein coding lnc-LGSN-6:1
Source: RNAcentral